Molecule: long non-coding RNA, 703 nt
Filed under: Homo sapiens (human)
Lineage: Eukaryota; Metazoa; Chordata; Mammalia; Primates; Hominidae
Description: HSALNT0355608
Source: RNAcentral
AUUUGCAGGAAAAGUAGCCCACUGGCUGAAACAGUGUUCAGCAGCAGAGGAUCUGGUUAUGGUUCCCCACUCCCCCAACAGUUUAUCAUGAUGUCAGUUUUGGAGCCGGUGAGGCCAGGUUGAAUCCAAGGACGUGGAUGUGUGGACCUGGUUCUUCUGCUUUCUUGUGGCAUACAUGGCUCUUCUUCUGUUACAUGGGGACAAAAUUACAUGCUGCUCCAGGCAGUUAAAUGAGAAAAAAAUGCCUGGCCAAGAACCUAACAUUGGGGAUGAUCAAUACCUGUCAGUUUUCUGUUUGAGUCUUGGUUUCCUCACCUGUAAAUAGAGAUGUUCUGCAUAUUUACCAGUGCAUCACAAAGCUUCCACUUUUUGUAUUGCGUCUUGGGACACGAGAAGACUCUGGUGAUGCUCCUAGUGAUGCUCGCUACCUUCUGCCUGGAUGCAGCUUAGCCAGGAAGCAAUUCAAUCUCCGAUCACUUACCCCAGAGUGAGAAAAACAUCUGAAAUUUAUAGGACGUCUUUUGAAAUGACCCUCCCCUCCUCUCCUGCACUGGUAACAAGAUCAUGAAUAAAAACAACAAGCAUAGCCCUUCUGUUCUGGAGGGUGGCUGACAUAUCACAUCUCUGGGAGACUCCUGGCAGCUGUGCUCUGUCUUUUUGGUGAAUUCACAGACUCCUUCCUCAGGACAAAUAUUUUGGAGCA